CACAUCCACUCGUUGCCACACACAUCCAAUAUCGGUCACCUGCUGUCAAUUUCCACUUUUCAAAAUAAAUCGCAGGCGCAUACCCACGAUUCGAGACAGUUCUCUUGUUAUCGAACGUCCCAGGCGAAAAUCUAGUUAUUCAGUUCAUUUAGUCGUGCGAGCGAUCGCUUAUUUUUCCGCAAAUCAGUCGAGUAAAUUGUCAAUUGUUUUACUAAUCAAGAGGGUGAGAAAUAGCAAGCAGAAGUCAUGGACAUUUUGAAAAGGAUGUUUGGAAAAGGCGAGGAUAAGAAGGAGCCCGCACAAGGGUUCAAGGAUGAGUUUCGGAAGCCAACUUGGUUCGAGGAGAGCGAAACUGACGACGAACUUUUCGACAGUAAAAAUAAAGUUCUGUUCCAGAUUUUCACGAAUCCACUUGAGCUGCAGAAACAUUUCGAUCAACAGAUGCAGGAAUUGUUGAAGAACCUCAAGCAGUAUGAAGAAACUGAGGAUUUUGAACGGAACUUCCGUGACGAGUACAUGAAACCUGGAUUUGAAGAAAGCAUUUCCGAGAAAUUCAAGCAACACGCAAAAGCCAUGGAUACGGACCUUGAUGGGGAGAUUUAUGCGGAUCAGCUGCAUUCGCUACUCCAACGUUUCGCACCGGAUAUGCGAUUGAUUCCAGAAAAUGAGAAACGAAAACCUUUGCAACCAAAAGUCAAAUUGUCCGAUGAAGAAACCAUCAUGGGGCGUAUCCACGGCACGAUCAGUGACGGUACGGAGCAACCACCAGCAAGACGUCGUGACAAGUUCCUUCAGAAAAUACCACCACAGUUUGGUGGUGUUUUCGAUGGAACAUACCAGGGCCCGAAGAUGUUUGGUCAGAGUAUCAUGACUCAAACUACUCGCAAACCGGACGGAUCAUAUGAAACAAAACGAGUCAUUCGCGAUACAGAAGGCAACGUCAAGACGACUAUAACGCGUUCAGCUGACGGUAAAACCGAGACCAUUACCACCUACGGUGAUGAGAAGGGGAAGGAGUCAAUUAAAGGCAACGCGCAGAAGAAAUUGCCAGUGGCAGCUAUGGACGCAAAUACGAGUUCGGAAUUGCGCAAUCUGUUCGUUUCGAAAGAAGGCUAUGCAUUGCCAAGGAACCUCUGGUGACCACAGGUCGUAGUAGCUGAGCAACUGAAAUUCAUUACUACACUUAUUAAUAAAUAUACAUGUCUAGCUAUCAUAACACUCAGUGUAAGGUUUUGCCGUUUUAUUAGCUGAAAAUUGGAGUGUACAAUCUAAUCUACCAUGAUUUUAAACCAACGAGUUUUUUGUCCUUCAUAAAAAACUGAAAAAGUUUCAUCUCUUUAUUGACACAAACAAUGUUAAGGGAAAGAACUAAGAACACUAAAGAGUCUUCUAAGCAUUUGGGCGAGAAAGUGCGACAAGUAAAAUAUAUGGAAAUUUAGUGGACCUGAUUCUUUUUCCGAGGAUUGCAGUCCAUCCUCCAGUAGACAUAAACUCUGAACUGUAGAAGGGAAGGAACACAAGGAUUUGGACAUUUUUGAUCAUUGUAUCGAUUUUCAUCAGAUUGAAAUUGAAAGAAAAGACUUAUAAUGACUGAAAACCCUUUAGGUAGGGAAGAUGAUGAUAUUUCCGCGAGUUUAUCGAACUUUCAAUAAAAACUUAAAUUUACAGUGAA
RNAcentral lists this unclassified non-coding RNA (1672 nucleotides) under Hermetia illucens (black soldier fly). Its description in RNAcentral is "uncharacterized LOC119661143, transcript variant X1". Lineage: Eukaryota; Metazoa; Arthropoda; Insecta; Diptera; Stratiomyidae. The record is from RNAcentral.